RNAcentral lists this ribosomal RNA (215 nucleotides) under Campeiostachys nutans. Its description in RNAcentral is "Elymus nutans partial small subunit ribosomal RNA". The stretch from base 38 to 215 matches the Rfam family "Eukaryotic small subunit ribosomal RNA", at positions 685 to 864 of the family's 1831-position model. Lineage: Eukaryota; Viridiplantae; Streptophyta; Magnoliopsida; Poales; Poaceae. The record is from RNAcentral.
GGAUCAAUAUGUUGGUCGUGCCUUGGUACGUACUUGUAUUAUUGAUUUCUUCCUUCUGACGAACCUUGAUGUCAUUAAUUUGGUGUCUUGGGGAAUCAGGACUGUUACUUUGAAAAAACUAGAGUGUUUAAAGCAGGCUCACGCUUGAAUACAUUAGCAUGGAAUAAUGAAAUAGGACGUUUGAUUCUAUUUUGUUGGUUUCUAGGAUUGACGUA